CGGAGCAACGCCGCGUGAGCGAUGAAGGCCUUCGGGUCGUAAAGCUCUGUUGUUAGGGAAGAACAAGUACCGUUCGAAUAGGGCGGUACCUUGACGGUACCUAACCAGAAAGCCACGGCUAACUACGUGCCAGCAGCCGCGGUAAUACGUAGGUGGCAAGCGUUGUCCGGAAUUAUUGGGCGUAAAGCGCGCGCAGGCGGUUCCUUAAGUCUGAUGUGAAAGCCCACGGCUCAACCGUGGAGGGUCAUUGGAAACUGGGGAACUUGAGUGCAGAAGAGGAAAGCGGAAUUCCACGUGUAGCGGUGAAAUGCGUAGAGAUGUGGAGGAACACCAGUGGCGAAGGCGGCUUUCUGGUCUGUAACUGACGCUGAGGCGCGAAAGCGUGGGGAGCAAACAGGAUUAGAUACCCUGGUAGUCCACGCCGUAAACGAUGAGUGCUAAGUGUUAGGGGGUUUCCGCCCCUUAGUGCUGCAGCUAACGCAUUAAGCACUCCGCCUGGGGAGUACGGCCGCAAGGCUG
RNAcentral lists this ribosomal RNA (519 nucleotides) under uncultured Bacillota bacterium. RNAcentral describes it as "bacterial SSU rRNA". It matches the Rfam family "Bacterial small subunit ribosomal RNA", at positions 387 to 896 of the family's 1533-position model. Lineage: Bacteria; Bacillati; Bacillota. The record is from RNAcentral.